Molecule: long non-coding RNA, 835 nt
Filed under: Homo sapiens (human)
Lineage: Eukaryota; Metazoa; Chordata; Mammalia; Primates; Hominidae
Description: non-protein coding lnc-C7orf49-6:3
Source: RNAcentral
GUUUAUGAAAAUGGCUCUCGGUAUCAACCCAGGAUGGGGCUGGAGAUCCUCCUUCAUCCCUGCACCCUUAUAUCACAGAGCUUUUCAGCCCUUCUCUAGCAUCUUUCCUUUGUAAGAGGAGACAUGUCUAGGUAGAAUGGAUUUGUUUCCCAUUUCAGGGAACAAACAAGAGUGCCCCAAAGAAGUUCUGAGAGGACUAUUAUCAGUGAUUGCCACAUUGAUUCAUUGGAUCAUAUAACCUUAGAAAAGAAAAAUGAGGCUUGAAAGGUUAAGAGAAACUUUUCAAGCAUCAGAUAGAGGUGGAAGAGUUGAAGCUAGAAUGCAGAUCUUAACCAAUCCUUCCACCACUCCAAAGAGAAACUCUUAUUAAAGAAGAAGAGGAAGAAGAAGAAGAAGGAGAAGGAGAAGAAGGAGAAGAAGGAGGAGGAGGAAAGAAAAGUAAAGAUUGUCCAGUCAUACAAUUAUUUCAUUCACUGUUGUUUGAAUAGAGCAAUUGAUAUCUUAAAUCAAUCUGAUCAACUGCACAAAAAUGGUUGGAUUAUUUAGAAGAUUUGAUUGAAAACCAGUUGUUUCAGCGGUCAUGUGUAGACCUGGACUUAAUAAAUGACCACCUUUGAGUCCCCCAGCUGAAAGAGAACAAAAGAACCCAGAGGCAAAUCAAUGGCAAAUUGCCACCCCAAACAAAUUGCAGUAUGUAAGUUCUGAAACUUGAAUUACCCUUCAAGGAUUAAAGUUCAAGACUGUGAAAAAUUAAAAAUGUUGCCUAGCCUAGGAAAUAGCAUAUGAAUCAAAAAUCUCAUUAGUAAGCUUAAUGGCACUCCUAAUCUUCUACUUU